This 63-nucleotide transfer RNA is filed under the name Rhabdopleura sp. NHMO H2137. Its description in RNAcentral is "tRNA-Phe". The record is from RNAcentral. Lineage: Eukaryota; Metazoa; Hemichordata; Pterobranchia; Rhabdopleurida; Rhabdopleuridae.
UCUGAGGUAGUUUAUGUUAAAAUAUAGUGUUGAAAACGCUACGAAAAAGUAAUUUUCUUGGAG